RNAcentral lists this long non-coding RNA (229 nucleotides) under Nicotiana benthamiana. RNAcentral describes it as "long non-coding RNA (NBEN_LNC025271)". Lineage: Eukaryota; Viridiplantae; Streptophyta; Magnoliopsida; Solanales; Solanaceae. The record is from RNAcentral.
GGGUGGAUGAUGGGGCCCAAUGAGCACCCACACUCUAAUUAUUACCCUCAAUCCUUUGCCUAUAUAUAUAGGACUUUGUAAAUUCAAGAGGGGGCAUCGACUCUUCAACCUGGUAUAAUAAAAUCUUUCUUUGAAAAACUCUCUCUCAUAUACUCUUACUCUCUCAAAAAUGUCAAAAGAUCUAGCAUCAACUACGGAACUAAUGGAGCAAAAUAAGGUACGCAAUUUU